RNAcentral lists this ribosomal RNA (998 nucleotides) under Triticum aestivum (bread wheat). RNAcentral's name for it is "partial small subunit ribosomal RNA". Lineage: Eukaryota; Viridiplantae; Streptophyta; Magnoliopsida; Poales; Poaceae. The record is from RNAcentral.
CAGAGGACGAAGCCCACACUGCGUAAAAAAAAUCUCGAUCCCCUCCUCUCUCUCCGAUGCAUCCAGUCGGUAGCACCCGGCGGCUGCCAGAUCCGUCCUCCCUUCGGAUCCACCAGCUCGACACUCUCCGCCACCGCCUUGCCCACCAUGGCGGCCAGCAAGGCGUCCCUUGGCGUUCGGCCAUCCCUGUACGGCGGCAUCAUGUCAGCGGCUGCAUCCAACUCUACUAUCGCCCGUCGGCCGCGUACAGGUCUUUGCUCUCUGCCAUCGGCCGCCUCCACCAUGUCUCCAGCUCCAUGCUGCCCGACUUGACAUCCUCUGCAUCAUAGUCAUCUUGGUUGCCGACGAAAGCUAGCUCUUCCUCCUCUGGGAUCGAUUUCACCUUCAUCUUGCUCUGCCACGGGUGGAUCUUCAGCCCCCUCGCAUAUGUGUUAUCCGUACUAUACUCCAGCCGGCUGGACGUGCAUGUGACGUGGGUGGCUUGACGUGCGCGUUCUAUUGGCAUAGGAAGCGGGCGGUUGUAGGCAGAGAAAGUUGCUGCCUACUUGCAGAGGGGAUUAGGAUUGUGUAUCAUAAUUAGGCGAGCUCAUUUGAUCUGUUUUGGUCUGGAUUAGUUAAAUCGUGAAUUGAUAAUUGUUUCUUGGUGCAGGAACUUUAAGUCAACCGGCUUGACGGCAACACGUACUAUGAGUUUCUUCCUAAAUCUGAAACUAUUUGGCCCAUAAAUUGUAAUCCCCUUGAGAAAGUUAGAGUCUUUAUGGAUCGGACUGGGUAAUGGAUGUUGACAAAUUUGAUUGCAGCAGGACCGGCAAACAAAGUGCAGUGCUCACCGUUGUAGAUAUAUUCAGGGUAGCAUCAAACUUCAGUGAAAAUGAGCAUUACUAGGCAGCGAGCUUCAUGCAUCAUUGGAUUUGAGAAUUCUGUACUAUGGUGAAUUAUUUUUGUUUCUUGGAGACACUAACAAUAGCUUCUUAUUAGUGCCCAUGGUGAAAGAGCUA